UCGAUCUCAAAUCAGGUAGGACUACCCGCUGAACUUAAGCAUAUCAAUAAGCGGAGGAAAAGAAACUAACAAGGAUUCCCCUAGUAACUGCGAGUGAAGCGGGAAAAGCUCAAAUUUAAAAUCUGACAGUCUUUGGCUGUCCGAGUUGUAAUCUAGAGAAGUGUUAUCCGCGCUGGACC
Molecule: ribosomal RNA, 179 nt
Filed under: Tomentella sublilacina
Lineage: Eukaryota; Fungi; Basidiomycota; Agaricomycetes; Thelephorales; Thelephoraceae
Description: partial 28S ribosomal RNA
Rfam family: Eukaryotic large subunit ribosomal RNA
Source: RNAcentral